Molecule: ribosomal RNA, 1444 nt
Filed under: Cynodon white leaf phytoplasma
Lineage: Bacteria; Bacillati; Mycoplasmatota; Mollicutes; Acholeplasmatales; Acholeplasmataceae
Description: 16S ribosomal RNA
Rfam family: Bacterial small subunit ribosomal RNA
Source: RNAcentral
UUUAGUGGGGAACGGGUGAGUACCACGUAAGUAACCUGCCUUUAAGACGAGGAUACAAUUGGAAACAGUUGCUAAGACUGGAUAGGAAAUUAGAAGGCAUCUUUUAAUUUUUAAAAGACCUUUUUCGAAAGGUAUACUUAAAGAGGGGCUUGCGGCACAUUAGUUAGUUGGUAGGGUAAAAGCCUACCAAGACCAUGAUGUGUAGCUGGACUGAGAGGUUGAACAGCCACAUUGGGACUGAGACACGGCCCAAACUCCUACGGGAGGCAGCAGUAGGGAAUUUUCGGCAAUGGAGGAAACUCUGACCGAGCAACGCCGCGUGAACGAUGAAGUAUUUCGGUAUGUAAAGUUCUUUUAUUGAAGAAGAAAAAAUAGUGGAAAAACUAUCUUGACGAUAUUCAAUGAAUAAGCCCCGGCAAACUAUGUGCCAGCAGCCGCGGUAAUACAUAGGGGGCGAGCGUUAUCCGGAAUUAUUGGGCGUAAAGGGUGCGUAGGCGGUUUGGUAAGUCCAUAGUUUAAUUUCAGUGCUUAACACUGUUCUGCUAUAGAAACUAUCAGACUAGAGUGAGAUAGAGGCAAGUGGAAUUCCAUGUGUAGCGGUAAAAUGCGUAAAUAUAUGGAGGAACACCAGAGGCGUAGGCGGGCUUGCUUGGGUCUUUACUCGAACGCUGAGGCAGGAAAGCGUGGGGAGCAAACAGGAUUAGAUACCCUGGUAGUCCACGCCGUAAACGAUGAGUACUAAGUGUCGGGGAAACUCGGUACUUGAAGUUAACACAUUAAGUACUCCGCCUGAGUAGUACGUACGCAAGUAUGAAACUUAAAGGAAUUGACGGGACUCCGCACAAGCGGUGGAUCAUGUUGUUUAAUUCGAAGAUACACGAAAAACCUUACCAGGUCUUGACAUACUCUGCAAAGCUAUAGCAAUAUAGUGGAGGUUAUCAGGGAUACAGGUGGUGCAUGGUUGUCGUCAGCUCGUGUCGUGAGAUGUUAGGUUAAGUCCUAAAACGAGCGCAACCCUUGUCACUAGUUGCCAGCAUGUUAUGAUGGGCACUUUAGUGAGACUGCCAAUGAAAAAUUGGAGGAAGGUGAGGAUCACGUCAAAUCAUCAUGCCCCUUAUGAUCUGGGCUACAAACGUGAUACAAUGGCUGUUACAAAGAGUAGCUAAAACGCGAGUUUAUAGCCAAUCUCAUAAAAGCAGUCUCAGUUCGGAUUGAAGUCUGCAACUCGACUUCAUGAAAGUUGGAAUCGCUAGUAAUCGCGAAUCAGCAUGUCGCGGUGAAUACGUUCUCGGGGUUUGUACACACCGCCCGUCAAACCACGAAAGUUGGUAAUACUCAAAAACGGUAGCCUAACUUCUUCGGAAGAGGGAACUGUCUAAGGUAGGAUCGAUGAUUGGGGUUAAGUCGUAACAAGGUAUCCCUACCGGAAGGUGGGGAUGGAUCA